Molecule: small RNA, 69 nt
Filed under: Bacilli bacterium VT-13-104
Lineage: Bacteria; Bacillati; Bacillota; Bacilli
Description: Bacillaceae-1 RNA
Rfam family: Bacillaceae-1 RNA
Source: Rfam by way of RNAcentral
UGAAAAGGACCAAGGUCGGCUAAAAGCGCAACGUCCUGUUGCAACGCCGACACUAGCACGUCCUGUGCG